RNAcentral lists this ribosomal RNA (493 nucleotides) under uncultured bacterium. Its description in RNAcentral is "partial 16S ribosomal RNA". It matches the Rfam family "Bacterial small subunit ribosomal RNA", at positions 28 to 507 of the family's 1533-position model. The record is from RNAcentral.
GACGAACGCUGGCGGCGUGCCUAACACAUGCAAGUUGAGCGACGAACCAGGGCUUGCCCUGGGGCAAAGCAGCGAACGGGUGAGUAACACGUGGGUAACCUACCCCGAUAACCGGGACAACCCGAGGAAACUCGGGCUAAUACCGGAUGUGCUCACUGGACUUCGGUUCAGUGCGUAAAGGAAGCUUCGGCCUCCGUAUCGGGAGGGGCCCGCGGCCCAUUAGUUUGUUGGUGAGGUAACGGCUCACCAAGACCGCGAUGGGUAGCUGGUCUGAGAGGACGAUCAGCCACACUGGGACUGAGACACGGCCCAGACUCCUACGGGAGGCAGCAGUGGGGAAUCUUGCGCAAUGCGCGAAAGCGUGACGCAGCAACGCCGCGUGGGGGAAGAAGGCCUUCGGGUUGUAAAACCCUUUCAGGAGGGACGAAGGUUAGGCGGUGAAUAGCCGUCCGGACUGACGGUACCUCCACAAGAAGCCCCGGCUAACUACGUG